Long non-coding RNA from Callithrix jacchus (white-tufted-ear marmoset), 4266 nucleotides. RefSeq lists it as uncharacterized. The record is from RefSeq and is a predicted model, not a curated record. NCBI's taxonomy places the organism in Eukaryota, Metazoa, Chordata, Mammalia, Primates, Cebidae.
GGACGCGCCCCUGGGGGCCCGGGCCGUGAGACUCGCGUAGUCUGUUGGGAGGUGGGGGAGGGGGACAAUGCGGUGUGCGAAGAGUGCGGAAGAAAUCACGCGAUUGGCUUUGGAGUUCCACUGGGCUCGAAUCUCAGCAGUGCUUUUUAUUAACCGUGGGACCUUGGGGUACUCGGCUCUCCUUUCUGAAUGAGUUUCCUCUUCUGUAAAAGAGGGAUGGUUAAUUCAACGAAUGUUUACUGAGCGCUUAGACAAGUGGUGCGGGUUCAAGGCUAGAGGCAGUAGAAAAGGAAAACAAGGCUCCUGGUCUCGGGGAGCUUACCACGGGGGUGUUUGUACGUGUGUGUGUUCAUGUGCUCAGUGGUGAAAGACAAGACAGAAAAACGGGAUCAACAUCGAAAGCAACAAGAUCAUUUCAACUUGAAAUGGGCCUUUCCAUUCUUUUCUUCUGCUCCUCUUCCUAGGAAUGUACUAAGGACAAUGACUCUGGAAGCUUCUGGGAAGGGAAUAUGGCAGAAGGUACAGGAGAUGCAGCAGGAAAUAAGACCAAUGGAGUCCUUGCCCUUCUGGAACUCAGUGUUCGAGUAGGAUGGGGCAGACAAUUCACAACUAGUAACCACAAAAGAUGCUUCCAGUGUGCUGCUCUUGUUAAAAUCAUCAGCGACACUCACUUUGCUAAAUCUGAUGACCAAUCCUCCCUGCUACCUCUGACUUCUGAGUACUUCCCAUGAGCCAGAUGCUGUUGUAGGCCCUGGGGACACAGCUAUGAACAAGAGAGGCCUUGGGGGCCGGGUACAGUGGUUCCCGCCUGUAAGCCUAGCACUUGGGAGGCUGAGGCGGGCAGAUCACCUGAGGUCAGGAGUUCGAAACCAGACUGACCAACAUGGCGAAACCCCAUCUCUACUAAAAACACAAAAAUUAGCCAGGUAUGGUGUGCAUGGGUAUGGUUGUGUGCACCUGUAAUUCCAGCUACUUGGGAGGCUGAAGUAGGAGAAUCACUUGAACCCAGGAGGUGGAGGUUACAGUGAGCCCAGAUCAUGUCACUGUACUCCAGCCUGGGUGAAAGAGCGAGACUUUGUCUCAGAAACAAACAAAAAAGGCCUUGGGGACCCCCUGUUCUAGUAGAGGAAGGCAAGUGAUGAGUAAAAUAAAUCAGUAAAAUAUAUGGUGUGUCAGGAGGUGACAAAUGCUGGGGGCAGUGAAGGAGGGGAAGCAUAGGAAUUGCCGCACUGGGGCUGAGGGGUUGAACACUCCCCUGAGAGAGGUUAAGAAGUGAGGGGACAGUCUCUGAAGUCCUAAGGCAUGAGGCGCCUGGCACUUCUGAUCUGUCUGAUCCGCAUGACUGAAGGCCGCUGUGGCUGCAGCAGAGUGAGGGAGAGGAGGGCUGGAGGGAUGCCGGCCUUGUGGGCUCCUGCGCUGUGAACGGAGGAGGGAGUGAUCCAGCUUUCACUUUAAUGGCUACAAUGGAGGGAGUAGGGAGUGGACCGUUCUUGGACAAGGGUGAAAGCUGGGGACUAGUCCUGAGACAGUCACCAUCACACAGGCAGGAUGACUGUCAUGUGGGCUGGGGUGGUAGCAAUGGAGACUAAGAGAAGUGGUUGGGUCCUGGGCGUUUUAAAGGGAGAACUGAAGAUGGCAUGUGCUAACAGGUGAGAAAGGCAGGACUCCAGGACCAUUCCAACGGUUUUGGCUGAGCAAUUGGAAGGGUACAGAAGAUGAUGGGAAGGGCAAGUCUGGAGGAGGGCAGAGGAGGUGUCAGGAAUUCAGUUUUGGACAUGGUAACUCUGAGAUGCACAUUAGAUACCCAGAUGGAGCUGUCAGGCAGGCAGUUGGAUGUGCUCUUCUGGAUUUCUGGUGGCGGCUAAGCAUAUCACCGUCUAAAUGACAUUUAGUGCCCAUUACUGGAUGGGGGCAUGAAACAGCAGGUACUGACAGGACAGAAAAGUCCCAGGGCUUAGUCCUAGGGCUUUUGAUGCAAAGAGGAGAAACCAUCAAAUUUGUUCACAGCUGUGCUCCCCAGAGCCUAAAACAGUUCGUGGCACAAAGUAAUUGGUAGGUCAUUAUUUUUUUAAUGAAUAAAUGAAUAAGUAGUGUUAAGCGCUAAGAAAGAAAUAGAACAGGGUGAUGAGUUAGAGUGUAUGGGGGAGAGUGUUCUUCCCUAUAUAGGGUAGCGGUCAGAGAAGGCCUCUUUGGGAAGGUGACAUGUGAGCCAAGCCCUGGAGGACAAGGAGAAAUUCUGUAAAUAGUUGCAGAGGAGACUGCAAGUGCAAAGGCCCUGAGGCAGGAGCAAAUCUGGCCUUUUGGAGACUCCAUGUGCUCAGGGCACGGGAGGCUGAGUCACCCAUGAACUUGCAAACCCAGGAUCUGAACUUUGGAUCACAUCCUGGGUGUCCUGGAAGGUUUUAAAACAGAGAAGUUAUGUGAUCAGAUUAAUAUUUUGUUAUUGUUAUUUAUUUAUUUCGAGAUAGAGUCACCCAGGCUGGAGUGCAGUAGUGCGACCUCGGUUCAGUUCAAUCUCUGCCUCCCAGGUUCAAUCAAUUCUCCUGCCUCAGCCUCUUGAGUAGAUGGGCAUUAUAGGCACCUGCUACCACACUUAGCUAAUUUUUGUAUUUUUAGUAGAGACGGGGUUUCACCAUGUUGGCCAGGCUGGUCUUGAACUCCUGACCUCAGGUAAUCCAUCACCUUGGCCUAACAAAGUGCUGGGAUUACAGCUGUGAGCCACUACACUCAGACCAGAUUAAUAUUUUAAAUGAUCCCCCUGAGGAACCUGGAGAACUUUCUGUAGGAAAGCAGGAGUGGAAGCAAAUGGAGCGUCAGGAAAGACUCACGCAGUAGCCAAGGUCAGAGCCAGCUUCUCAGGGGUCAGGGGAGUCAGGAGGGAGAGGAGUGGGCAGAUUCAAGAUAUUUUAGGAACAGAAUGAUAGGACUGGGAUUCAAGGGCCCUGCUGGUUCAAUCCCGCCGUGAAGAUGUCCCUCAUUGACAGACAUGGAUGGCCUUGGGGAGGGGCCAGGACCCCUGUAGGGCCAGAGGGUUGCUCUUAAGGUCUCUCCUUAGUCACCCCAAUCCAAGACUCCAGGGGCUUCCCAGGCUGGAAGCUGUGGAAGGUGGUGGGAAGGGAUGUGAUUGGGAUGGUCAUUUCAUGCUGGGCUCUGGGCCACCAUUGUAAGGUAGCUAAGACCAUGCAUGGUACUAGGGGAGAGCCCUUUCUUCCUUUUUCUUCAUCAGACGUAGAUUCCUGGCUGGCACAGUGGCUCACACCUAUAAUCCCAGCACUUUGGGAAGCAAAGGCAGAGAAUCACUUGAACCCUUCCAGGCUGAUCUGAGACCAGUCUGGGCCACAUAUUGAGGCCCCGUCUCUAUUUUUUUUUUUUUAGAUGGAGUUUCGCUCUUGUUACCCAGUCUGGAGAGCAAUGGCAUGAUCUCAGCUCACUGCAACCUCUGCCUCCGGAGUUCAAGCAAUUCUCCUACCUCAGCCUCCUGAGUAGCUAGGACUACAGGCACACGCCACCAUGCCCAACUAAAUUUUGUAUUUUUAGUAGAGACAGAGUUUCACCUUGUUGACCAGGAUGGUCUUGAUCUCUUGACCUCGUGAUCCACCCGCCUCGGCCUCUAUUUUUUUUUUUAAUUAAAAAUCUUCCGGGCAUGGUAGUGUGCAUCUGUAGUCCCAGUUCCUCAGGAGGCUGAGGAGGGAGAAUGAGGCCAAGAGUUUGAGGCUGUAGUGAGCUAUGAUCGUACCACUACACUCCGUCUUGGGCAACAGAGCAAACCCUGUCUCAAAACAACAACAAAUCUAUAUUUGUGAUCUCUUCCCAGCCUGGUUCUCCUCCAGUGCUCCCUCUGUCCAAAUUUCUUCAAUGCUCCUCCCACUGAGAGGUGGUAGUAUGUCCCUCCCUUGAAUCUGGGCCUGUGACUCUAGUAGAAUACGGUGGGUCUGAUGUGGUGCCAGGUUUCAGGCCCAGGCCUUAAGAAACUGGCAGCUUCUGCUUCCUGUCUCUUGGGAUGCCUGCUCUGGGAACCCAGCCACUGUUCCAUGAGGAAGCCAAGCAGCCACAUGGAGACAACACACAGAGCCGUCCUGGCCAGCACCCCCAGCUGAGGCUCCAGCUGACAGCUGGCAUCAGCUGCCCCACGUAUGAGUGACCAGAUGACUCCAGCCUCAACCUGUGAGCCACCCUAGCUAACCUCCCUUUGGAGGAGAACUGGGCUGUCUUACUGAGCACUGCCCAUGCUGCAGACUUGUGAGCAUAAAAAAUGAUUAUUGUUUU